Molecule: non-coding RNA, 45 nt
Filed under: Schistosoma margrebowiei
Lineage: Eukaryota; Metazoa; Platyhelminthes; Trematoda; Strigeidida; Schistosomatidae
Source: RNAcentral
GUCCAGCUGAUGAGUCCCAAAUGGGACGAAACGUGUGUCCUGGAU